This 381-nucleotide long non-coding RNA is filed under the name Physcomitrium patens. Its description in RNAcentral is "long non-coding RNA (PPAT_LNC004795)". Lineage: Eukaryota; Viridiplantae; Streptophyta; Bryopsida; Funariales; Funariaceae. The record is from RNAcentral.
UUUGAUUAGGGUUUGGAUUAGGGUUUGAUUUAGUUUUUAGGAUUUAGGAUUUAGAUUAGGAUUUGGUUAGGGUUUGGUUUAGGAUUUAGGAUUUGAAUUAGGGUUUGAUUUAGGAUUUAGGGUUUGAUUAGGGUUUGAUUUAGGAUUUGAUUUAGGGUUUAGGAUUUUAUUAGGAUUUAAGAUUCAAUUAGUUUUGGCGUAAAGUUUUAAUGAAGUUCAAUAGGAUUUUAACUAGAAUUAAAUUAAGAUUGAAUUGAGAUAUAUUUCAGUGAUAUUUGUGAUCCUUCUAAUAUUUCUUUAAGAAUUCUUAUUAUUUGUUUGAAAUUUCUUUGAGGUUUUUUUGAAUUUGAUUAAGCUUUCUUAGCAUUAUUAUGGUCUAAU